This is a long non-coding RNA of Struthio camelus australis, 1143 nucleotides long. RefSeq lists it as uncharacterized. The record is from RefSeq and is a predicted model, not a curated record. Lineage: Eukaryota; Metazoa; Chordata; Aves; Struthioniformes; Struthionidae.
AGGCUGCAUACCUCCACAGCGGAGGCCGCCCAGGCGCGGAUGCGCCCCCGCUGCGCUGCUCUCCUCCGGCCUGAGCACAGCUUGUCCAACAAUCUGCCCAGCCUUAGAUGUGUAUCAAGGCUUCAGGGUCCGCGCCGCUCAGCUCCAGGCACUGUUAUCCCAAGCGACACCUGUGCUGACAGACCACGUGGGAGCACUACAGACUUGCUCUGUUUAGCUUCAAGAUUUCUCCAGUCUCCACUUGAACCAGCAUCAACUUUUAGCAUCCACCACAGGUUAGCUGCAUGUUGCACAAGAACGCACUUCCUUUCAUUGCUCUGAACCUGCCACCUGACAGUUUUAUCUGAUGCCCCUCAGCUAUUGUAUUGGAAGAAAGGCCACAGCAUGUAGCCAUAUCCAUCUGUGUUGUGCUACCUGUGAUUUUAUAAAAGCAGUUCUAGACUGCCAGUUGUGCCUGUGGCCUUUUUUUUCUGGAACAUUUCCAGUUCUACUAUAUCCUUUUGAAGAAGGGGAGUAGGAAAUCAGAAAAUAUCCAGUAUUCUAUUUCAAAGCAGCAUCCCAGUAAUUAAACUCUCCUAAUAACUCAUCCACACUGGGCUGGCCAUGUAGUCAGGAUAGGUAGGAGGCUGCAAGAUUUACAGGCAUAUCUUUCAGAAUCAGCUUUCUUGUGGCAGAAGAAAUGUGGGGAUGCCCUGAUAAUACACCCUAAAGCUUGUCUGAUCAAUACCAAUAGCAGAAAGGUUUCUGCUGACAUAUUAGAAGGCAAACAUGUCAAGAUGCUGCUGCAGCCUUUGAGGUAAAGUGUGCUGUCUAGGAAUCAAGAAAGAGACUGAGGGAGGAAAGGGAGCUCAAUAAAAGUCAGUUAUCACCACCAAGACCUCAUAAAUUCCUAUGUUCAGCUUGUAACCAUACUUGCUUCUCAGACUGGCCUUUUCUUAUAACACAGACAACAAAUAGCUACCUCACUCUGAAGUAAUAGUCGUACUCAGUUAAAAAAAAGAGCCAUAUUAUGAUAGGCCGCAUCAGGUGGCUGGACUCGCAAGGGACAAGAAUAGGCUGCACCUAACAGCAUGGGGAACCAUGUGCUGAAAUGGAACAGCUCUAGAUAGGAUGGGUUGUGACUUCCCGUUGUGACUGGGUCCA